This is a long non-coding RNA of Oncorhynchus masou masou (cherry salmon), 818 nucleotides long. RefSeq lists it as uncharacterized. The record is from RefSeq and is a predicted model, not a curated record. The transcript has 2 exons. NCBI's taxonomy places the organism in Eukaryota, Metazoa, Chordata, Actinopteri, Salmoniformes, Salmonidae.
CUCUCCUGCAUAGUCCAAAAUAAUAUAUAUCACACCCCCAAACCCUUUCCAGCGGCUUUGAACUUUGCAACCCCAGUAUUUUACCAAUGAGUCCCUGAACAAUAUGGCUACCAUCUGGCCAAUAUACUGUAGCGUUGCUAUUGCGCGAUUCUAAUUCUGUGGUCCUAACACAAUGCUGUGCUGUAGGUGUGUUCUAGUGAUCCUAUGACGUUCUAACACAGCCCUGUGUUGUCUCCUAGGUGAAGCACUGGACUGUCUGCGCUGUGUGCCAACUAAGGCAGGAAGAGACUGUGAGGUGACAGUAGAAACCUGCCCCCAGAGAAGGAGGGAUGUGCAGCCGCCAAGUUCCUCAGAGCUCCAUUUGGCCAUUUCCAGAGAUGCAUGGACAUGUCGGGCUGUAAGCAGUUCCAAACCAACGCUUACAUCAACAUGAAGUGCUGUGGCACUGACAAGUGCAACACAUUCUAGAAUCUAUAUACUGGUUAACAUUCUAGAAUCUAUAUACUGGUUCACAUUCUAGAAUCUAUAUACUGUUCACGUUCUAGAAUCUAUAUACUGGUUCACAUUCUAGAAUCUAUAUACUAGUUAACGUUCUAGAAUCUAUAUACUGGUUCACAUUCUAGAAUCUAUAUACUGGUUCACAUUCUAGAAUCUAUAUACUGGUUUACAUUCUAGACCAGGGGUAUUCAAAUCCUUCCAUGGAGGUCUGGAGUACUGCUGGUUUUCUGUUCUACCUGAUCAUUCAUUGUUCCCACCAGGUGUCUAAAUCAGUCACUGAUUAGAAAUGGAAUAAAUAAAAACAGAGGAACUGGCUUUGA